GGAUGUGAGGGUGAUCUGGCUGCGACAUCUGUCACCCCACUGAUCACCAGGGUUGAUUCAACUGAUCUGGCUGUCUAGAUGGGUGUCUCCUUCCUCCCUCACCACUCCAUGUGCCUCCCUCCCGAAGCUGCGUGCUCAGUUGAAGAGGACGGCUUUCCCCAAUAGAGACAGAACUUUCAUCAGUCAAGGGUGUAUGGUAGCUGUGCUGCCCCGCUAGAACCUCCAAACAAGCUCAAGGUCCACUUGUAGGAGAAUGUAGGGUAGUGACGCUUCCAAAACUUCAGACACAUCCAGGUGAGGCACCGUAUGGGGCAGUCUGCCAUUGUUU
Molecule: small nuclear RNA, 328 nt
Filed under: Antrostomus carolinensis (chuck-will's-widow)
Lineage: Eukaryota; Metazoa; Chordata; Aves; Caprimulgiformes; Caprimulgidae
Description: Caprimulgus carolinensis (chuck-will's-widow) 7SK RNA
Rfam family: 7SK RNA
About the family: 7SK was discovered as an abundant small nuclear RNA in the mid-70s but a possible function has only recently been suggested. Two independent studies have found that 7SK RNA binds the CDK9/cyclin T complex (known as elongation factor P-TEFb). P-TEFb activates transcription by phosphorylating the C-terminal domain of RNA polymerase II.
Source: Rfam by way of RNAcentral